This 146-nucleotide non-coding RNA is filed under the name Dehalogenimonas lykanthroporepellens. RNAcentral's name for it is "MoCo sequence". It matches the Rfam family "Molybdenum/Tungsten riboswitch aptamer (Moco RNA motif)". The record is from RNAcentral. Lineage: Bacteria; Bacillati; Chloroflexota; Dehalococcoidia; Dehalococcoidales; Dehalococcoidaceae.
UUGAAUAUCGGUCUCCGAGUCCCCAGGCCUAAGUCUCUUCAGGAUACGGCCGCCGGACCGGUGGUUCACCGGAAGGUGAACCCGAGGGUAGCGCUGGAAACAGCACUGCCUCCCGCGAUUUGGAAAGGAGAAAAGCCAUGACGGGA